RNAcentral lists this transfer RNA (84 nucleotides) under Deltaproteobacteria bacterium. RNAcentral describes it as "tRNA-Leu". It matches the Rfam family "tRNA". From Rfam's summary of the family: Transfer RNA (tRNA) molecules are approximately 80 nucleotides in length. Their secondary structure includes four short double-helical elements and three loops (D, anti-codon, and T loops). Lineage: Bacteria; Pseudomonadati; Myxococcota; Myxococcia. The record is from RNAcentral.
GGGCGAGUGGCGGAAUGGCAGACGCGCCAGACUCAAAAUCUGGUGAGGUACCCCCUUGUGAGGGUUCAAGUCCCUCCUCGCCCA